CGGGGGAUAAAGGCUUUGGGAAUGUGGCUCCCUCGGGAGUGUUAUAGCCCACUGCGUAAUACCCUGGGGUGGACUGAGGUUCGCGCUCUGCAAGGAUGCUGGCGUAAUGGUCAUCA
RNAcentral lists this ribosomal RNA (116 nucleotides) under Clonostachys rosea. RNAcentral describes it as "partial large subunit ribosomal RNA". Lineage: Eukaryota; Fungi; Ascomycota; Sordariomycetes; Hypocreales; Bionectriaceae. The record is from RNAcentral.